This 190-nucleotide small nuclear RNA is filed under the name Piloderma croceum F 1598. RNAcentral's name for it is "U2 spliceosomal RNA". It matches the Rfam family "U2 spliceosomal RNA". From Rfam's summary of the family: U2 is a small nuclear RNA (snRNA) component of the spliceosome (involved in pre-mRNA splicing). Complementary binding between U2 snRNA (in an area lying towards the 5' end but 3' to hairpin I) and the branchpoint sequence (BPS) of the intron results the bulging out of an unpaired adenosine, on the BPS, which initiates a nucleophilic attack at the intronic 5' splice site, thus starting the first of two transesterification reactions that mediate splicing. The record is from Rfam by way of RNAcentral. Lineage: Eukaryota; Fungi; Basidiomycota; Agaricomycetes; Atheliales; Atheliaceae.
CCACCACUCUGGCCUCAUAGGCUAAGAUCAAUGUGUAGUAUCUGUUCUCAUUAGCUUAACCGCUAAUAUGAGGGUACGCCCUCCAUUCAUGGUUAACUUAUUUUUGCCAUCCUCUUUCUUGUUCUCUGCUCGCAUCACAAGGAUAUGAUGACCUUGCUCUUGCACUUUAUGCUUGCGUCGUCGGGGAUUU